RNAcentral lists this ribosomal RNA (253 nucleotides) under uncultured bacterium. RNAcentral describes it as "partial 16S ribosomal RNA". It matches the Rfam family "Bacterial small subunit ribosomal RNA", at positions 524 to 776 of the family's 1533-position model. The record is from RNAcentral.
UACGGGGGGGGCAAGCGUUGUUCGGAAUCACUGGGCGUAAAGCGCACGUAGGCGGACUCUUAAGUCGGUGGUGAAAUCCUGGAGCUCAACUCCAGAACUGCCUUCGAUACUGAGAGUCUUGAGUCCGGGAGAGGUGAGUGGAACUGCGAGUGUAGAGGUGAAAUUCGUAGAUAUUCGCAAGAACACCAGUGGCGAAGGCGGCUCACUGGCCCGGUACUGACGCUGAGGUGCGAAAGCGUGGGGAGCAAACAGG